AACGAACGCUGGCGGCAUGCCUAACACAUGCAAGUCGAACGAGACCUUCGGGUCUAGUGGCGCACGGGUGCGUAACACGUGGGAAUUUGCCUCGGGGUAUGGAAUAACUCAGGGAAACUUGAGCUAAUACCAUAUAAUGUCUUCGGACCAAAGAUUUAUCGCCCUGAGAUAAGCCCGCGUAGGAUUAGCUAGUUGGUGGGGUAAAGGCUCACCAAGGCGACGAUCCUUAGCUGGUCUGAGAGGAUGAUCAGCCACACUGGGACUGAGACACGGCCCAGACUCCUACGGAGGCAGCAGUGGGGAAUAUUGGACAAAUGGGGCGAAAAGCCUGAUCCAGCAAUGCCGCGUGAGUGAUGAAGGCCUCGGUUGUAAGCGUCUUUACCGUACGAUGA
Molecule: ribosomal RNA, 392 nt
Filed under: uncultured bacterium
Lineage: Bacteria
Description: bacterial SSU rRNA
Rfam family: Bacterial small subunit ribosomal RNA
Source: RNAcentral